GCCGGGUACGGUGGCGCGUGCCUGUAGUCCCAGCUACUCGGGAGGCUGAGGUGGGAGGACUGCUUGAGCCCCGUUCUGGGCUGUAGUGUGCUAUGCCGACUGGGUGUCAGCACUAGGUUCAGCAUCAAUAUGGUGACCUCCCGGGAGUGGGGGACCACCAGGUUGCCUAAGGAGGGGUGAACCGGCCCAAGUCAGGAGCAGGUCAAAACUUCCGUGCUCAUCAGUAGUGGGAUCGCACCUGUGAAGAGCCACUGCACUCCAGCCUGGGCAACAUAGCGAGAACCCAUCUCUU
This is an unclassified non-coding RNA of Callithrix jacchus (white-tufted-ear marmoset), 292 nucleotides long. It matches the Rfam family "Metazoan signal recognition particle RNA". Rfam says of the family: The signal recognition particle (SRP) is a universally conserved ribonucleoprotein. It is involved in the co-translational targeting of proteins to membranes. NCBI's taxonomy places the organism in Eukaryota, Metazoa, Chordata, Mammalia, Primates, Cebidae. The record is from Ensembl.